AGACAGUUUAGCUUCAGGACCAGCCAUACCUGCUGAUUAGGAUGAGCCGGUUCGUCCUGUGUGGGCAACCAGUUAAUGAAAAUAAUGGAGGAACAAAAAUACUAAUAAACAAUGAAAAUAAAGAAGAGAAAAAAUAAAAAAGGCAAAAAGCAAGCAAGCAUUGUAAAAUAGGUGACUAUGGUCCCAGCUGUAAGAGGUCAAAGACAAGAUUCCCCCAUGUAGUUCUGGGCUGAUUCUUCACUGUUCCCACGAUCAUUGAAACUGCACAAGGCUGCUCAUAUAAUGUCUUUCUUGUAACCAAAUGUGCGACUCCCCAGGACAUAUGAGAGAGCCAAAUGUUACAAUGGUAUAAAGCUGUAAGAUGGCACCAAUUGAGAUUUUAUUACCCAAAGGAUAUGAGGCACACAGCAAACCUUUUCUUUGCUGUUCGCAUCCAAAUAUAAAAGAGAAAUUCACUAAGAGGGGCAUGAAUAA
Molecule: long non-coding RNA, 474 nt
Organism: Hyla sarda
Lineage: Eukaryota; Metazoa; Chordata; Amphibia; Anura; Hylidae
Exons: 3
Source: RefSeq, a predicted model, not a curated record